CUACGGGCCGCUGCAGUGAGGAAUAUUGCGCAAUGGGGGAAACCCUGACGCAGCGACGCCGCGUGGAUGAUGAAGGCCUUCGGGUCGUAAAAUCCUGUCAGAAGGAAAGAAGUGUAUGGUAGCUAAUAUCUGCCAUACUUGACGGUACCUUCAAAGGAAGCACCGGCUAACUCCGUGCCAGCAGCCGCGGUAAUACGGAGGGUGCAAGCGUUGUUCGGAAUUACUGGGCGUAAAGCGCGCGGAGGCGGUUUUAUAAGUCAGAUGUGAAAGUCCACGGCUCAACCAUGGAAGUGCAUUUGAAACUGUAAGACUUGAGUAUUGGAGGGGGUAGUGGAAUUCCCGGUGUAGAGGUGAAAUUCGUAGAUAUCGGGAGGAAUACCGGUGGCGAAGGCGACUAUCUGGCCAAAUACUGACGCUGAGGUGCGAAAGCGUGGGGAGCAAACAGGAUUAGAUACCCGAGUAGUC
Molecule: ribosomal RNA, 465 nt
Filed under: uncultured bacterium
Lineage: Bacteria
Description: partial 16S ribosomal RNA
Rfam family: Bacterial small subunit ribosomal RNA
Source: RNAcentral